CACAGACAAGUCAAUUUUUAGUAAGGGAUGGCGUUGGUCCCUGAUGACAUUCUCCUUAGAAAGAUAAUUAAAGGAAAAUGUGAGAAAUAUGUUGACACGUGGAAAUCAAAAUUCUGAGAUAGAAAGCACGUGGCCAAGAGUGGCAUUAGGAAAGAUAAAGAGAGAGACGGCAGAGAGAACUUCAAGGUUGCAGGAAACAAGAGGAAGAACCAUGCACUUACCCCAGGCUUUAUUGUGGAUUGUGAGGAUGAAUGAAUAUGUAACAAAGCAUAGUUGAUUCUCAUUGGUAGCAUAGAUAAUGACAAGAUCAGAGUAGGUGGGGAUUCACCUGACAUGCACUUUUCAGAGGAAUGAGGUCUGACAAGGUGAGGGCUAAGCCUUUGUGGCUUAGGCUCAAUAAUUCUCUUGCCCUUAGAUCAUUAACUGCUCUGAUCAAGUAUUUAAAACAUCAGCCAUACUUCCAUGCCUGGUAUGCUACAUUUCUCUGCCUAGAUUUUUUUAAGCCACAUUUCUCCAAGGAUUUUCAGGAAAAAAAAGCCUCUUGAUUAGCUCGUACCUGCUGCCUGCUCUUGCUUCCUGCUAUCCCUGAUUGCCUCUCUGCACCUUCUUGACCAAGAUAGCUCACCUGGCCCCAGCCCCGUCCACCCCGGCUCUGACUCUGGCUCUGACUCCUAACCUCCAGCCAUCUCACUCACCUGGCCCAGCCCCAGCCCGGCCCCAGCAACUCUGGCCUCUGACCCAGAUCGCUGCUGGUAGCUGCCCCAAUUUCUUCAGGACCACAAACCAACUGUGGAUCAUGGCCAGGCAUGAAGAGGAAAUGGAUCUCAUUUUUGAAACUGAACUGUUUGGAGAAGACACCAUGAGGAUGCCUCCAGACCACAAACUGCAUGAAAAGAUCAAGGAUGAACUUUGGGUGAGGUUGAUUGAACAUUUAUUUGUAUGUAUACUUUCAUGCCAAAGGGAACUGCCCCCUAACUGGUUUUUUGUCAAUGCGGCUAGCAAUUAUUGGUUUUGUUCUUUUUUCCUCUUAUCUUCAAAUUAUUGUAAUCUUUAUGUUGAUUAUGUUUUCAUGAUCCUUUUGGGGAAACUGGUUUAUAUAAUUAAUAAUUAUUGCUGAUAUUUAGGUAGCACUUUAAAGGUUUACAGUGUUUUAUUACAUUAUUUCAAUUUAGCCUUGUAACAACUAUGAGAGGUAGGUGUUAUUGUCAUCAUCAUCAUCAUCAUCAUCAUCUCCAAUUUGCAGAUGAGGAAACAAGCCCAGGCAGGAUAAGUGACUCACCUAAGUUCAUAUAGCUAGUGUAAAAAUGGAGAUUUGAACCCCAGACUUCAAUCCCUAGAAGUCCUUGAUACUUCCCAGAAUUCCCUAUAAUCUCACCUGAGUCUCCACCUGGAUGAGAUCACAAUUUAUUAUUUAAAGGGCUCUCCGCCUCUCAAGGGCUCUCUUCCUCUACUCAGAGAUUGCAACAUGUUGUAAGAAGGCUGUGAAUGGACUAAUCGUGCCCUAGGCAUGGGGCUUAUUAUUUUGUAUCCUUG
Molecule: long non-coding RNA, 1533 nt
Filed under: Monodelphis domestica (gray short-tailed opossum)
Lineage: Eukaryota; Metazoa; Chordata; Mammalia; Didelphimorphia; Didelphidae
Description: lncRNA (ENSMODG00000043362.1)
Source: RNAcentral